UGGGGAAUAUUGCACAAUGGGCGCAAGCCUGAUGCAGCGACGCCGCGUGAGGGAUGACGGCCUUCGGGUUGUAAACCUCUUUCAGCUCCGACGAAGCGCAAGUGACGGUAGGAGCAGAAGAAGCACCGGCCAACUACGUGCCAGCAGCCGCGGUAAUACGUAGGGUGCAAGCGUUGUCCGGAAUUACUGGGCGUAAAGAGAUCGUAGGCGGUUUGUCGCGUCGUCUGUGAAAUUCUGCAGCUUAACUGCAGGCGUGCAGGCGAUACGGGCAGACUUGAGUACUACAGGGGAGACUGGAAUUCCUGGUGUAGCGGUGAAAUGCGCAGAUAUCAGGAGGAACACCGGUGGCGAAGGCGGGUCUCUGGGUAGUAACUGACGCUGAGGAGCGAAAGCGUGGGUAGCGAACAGG
Molecule: ribosomal RNA, 409 nt
Filed under: Actinomycetes bacterium
Lineage: Bacteria; Bacillati; Actinomycetota; Actinomycetes
Description: Actinobacteria bacterium partial 16S ribosomal RNA
Rfam family: Bacterial small subunit ribosomal RNA
Source: RNAcentral